Molecule: ribosomal RNA, 467 nt
Filed under: uncultured bacterium
Lineage: Bacteria
Description: bacterial SSU rRNA
Rfam family: Bacterial small subunit ribosomal RNA
Source: RNAcentral
CCAGACUCCUACGGGAGGCAGCAGUGGGGAAUAUUGGUCAAUGGGCGGAAGCCUGAACCAGCCAAGUCGCGUGAGGGAAGAAGGCCCUGCGGGUCGCAGACCUCUUUGGACGGGGAGCAAGGCCGCCGACGUGUCGGCGGAAGGAGAGUACCCGUAGAACAAGCAUCGGCUAACUCCGUGCCAGCAGCCGCGGUAAUACGGAGGAUGCGAGCGUUAUCCGGAUUUAUUGGGUUUAAAGGGUGCGUAGGUGGUUAAUUAAGUCAGCGGUGAAAGUUUGUGGCUCAACCAUAAAAUUGCCGUUGAAACUGGUUGACUUGAGUAUAUUUGAGGUAGGCGGAAUGCGUGGUGUAGCGGUGAAAUGCAUAGAUAUCACGCAGAACCCCGAUUGCGAAGGCAGCAUACCGGUGCACAACUGACGCUCAGGCACGAAAGCGUGGGUAUCGAACAGGAUUAGAUACCCUUGUAUA